UUAUUAUUUAUAAUUAAAUUAAUUUAAUUUAAUUAAUUUACUUUUAAAUUUUAUUAAUAUAUAAAUUUAAUUACAUUAAUAUUUUAUUAAAAAAAAUUAUAAUUCAUUAUUAUUAAAAUUAAAUUUAAAUAUUAAUCUAUUAUUUUUAAUAUAAUUUUAAUUUAAAUAAAUUUCAAAAAAAAUAAAUUUACUUAUAACAACUAUAUAUAAAAUAUAUUUUAAUUUAUAAUAUUGUGUAAUAUCUAUUAUAUAACAAAUUCCUCUAAAAUAAAAAUACUGCCAAUUUAAUAAAUUUAAAAUUUAUUAUAAUUAUUAUUAAUAAUUUAUUUUAUAUAUAAUUAUCUAGAGUAUCUAAUUCUAUUAAUUUAAUUAUAUUAAUAUUUAUAUUUAUAUAAAUAUAAUUUAAAUUAAUAUCACUUAAAUUUAUUUAUAAAUAAAACUUUUAAUAAAUAUUUUAAUCUAUAAAAAAAGU
RNAcentral lists this ribosomal RNA (472 nucleotides) under Crypticerya sp. CCG-AL-5. RNAcentral describes it as "partial 12S ribosomal RNA". The record is from RNAcentral. Lineage: Eukaryota; Metazoa; Arthropoda; Insecta; Hemiptera; Monophlebidae.